This 540-nucleotide ribosomal RNA is filed under the name fungal sp. E15230J. RNAcentral describes it as "eukaryotic LSU rRNA". The stretch from base 168 to 321 matches the Rfam family "5.8S ribosomal RNA". Lineage: Eukaryota; Fungi. The record is from RNAcentral.
ACCUGCGGAGGGAUCAUUACCGAGUUUACAACUCCCAAACCCCUGUGAACAUACCAAUUGUUGCCUCGGCGGAUCAGCCCGCUCCCGGUAAAACGGGACGGCCCGCCAGAGGACCCCUAAACUCUGUUUCUAUAUGUAACUUCUGAGUAAAACCAUAAAUAAAUCAAAACUUUCAACAACGGAUCUCUUGGUUCUGGCAUCGAUGAAGAACGCAGCAAAAUGCGAUAAGUAAUGUGAAUUGCAGAAUUCAGUGAAUCAUCGAAUCUUUGAACGCACAUUGCGCCCGCCAGUAUUCUGGCGGGCAUGCCUGUUCGAGCGUCAUUUCAACCCUCAAGCCCUCGGGUUUGGUGUUGGGGAUCGGCGAGCCCUUGCGGCAAGCCGGCCCCGAAAUCUAGUGGCGGUCUCGCUGCAGCUUCCAUUGCGUAGUAGUAAAACCCUCGCAACUGGUACGCGGCGCGGCCAAGCCGUUAAACCCCCAACUUCUGAAUGUUGACCUCGGAUCAGGUAGGAAUACCCGCUGAACUUAAGCAUAUCAAUAAG